GAUAUCUGCGCCAUCUGCUUGCCCGCAGUUGUUUAAGGAUGACUUGAGGUCUCACCAGAUAGAUACAGAGAUAAUAAGAGUGUUCAUGAGCAGGGGGAAAGGCAGAGGAAGAAGCAGACUCUCCACUGAGCUAGGAGCCCAACGUGGGACUUGAUCCCAGGACCCAGAGAUCAUGACCUGAUCGAAGGCAGACGCUUAACCAUCUGAGCCACUCAGGUAGGUGCCCCUAAGAGAGGUGAUCUUAUGUAGGGUUUUUUAAAAAUUAUUUUUGUUAACAUAUAAUGUAUUAUAUGUUUUUUUGCCCCAGGGGUACAGGUGUGUGAAUCGUUAGGCUUACACAAUUCACAGCACUCACCAUAGCACAUGCUGUCCCCAAUGUUCGUAACCCAG
This 390-nucleotide long non-coding RNA is filed under the name Mustela putorius furo (domestic ferret). RNAcentral's name for it is "lncRNA (ENSMPUG00000029499.1)". Lineage: Eukaryota; Metazoa; Chordata; Mammalia; Carnivora; Mustelidae. The record is from RNAcentral.